RNAcentral lists this ribosomal RNA (253 nucleotides) under uncultured bacterium. Its description in RNAcentral is "partial 16S ribosomal RNA". It matches the Rfam family "Bacterial small subunit ribosomal RNA", at positions 524 to 776 of the family's 1533-position model. The record is from RNAcentral.
GACGUAGGGCGCGAGCGUUGUCCGGAUUUAUUGGGCGUAAAGAGCUCGUAGGCGGCUUGUCGCGUCGACUGUGAAAACCCGCGGCUUAACCGCGGGCUUGCAGUUGAUACGGGCAGGCUAGAGUUCGGUAGGGGAGACUGGAAUUCCUGGUGUAGCGGUGAAAUGCGCAGAUAUCAGGAGGAACACCGGUGGCGAAGGCGGGUCUCUGGGCCGAUACUGACGCUGAGGAGCGAAAGCGUGGGGAGCGAACAGG